GAUGAACGCUGGCGGCGCGCUUAACACAUGCAAGUCGAACGGAAAGGCCCAAGCUUGCUUGGGUACUCGAGUGGCGAACGGGUGAGUAACACGUGGGUGAUCUGCCCUGCACUUCGGGAUAAGCCUGGGAAACUGGGUCUAAUACCGGAUAGGACGAUGGUUUGGAUGCCAUUGUGGAAAGUUUUUUCGGUGUGGGAUGAGCUCGCGGCCUAUCAGCUUGUUGGUGGGGUAAUGGCCUACCAAGGCGUCGACGGGUAGCCGGCCUGAGAGGGUGUACGGCCACAUUGGGACUGAGAUACGGCCCAGACUCCUACGGGAGGCAGCAGUGGGGAAUAUUGCACAAUGGGCGCAAGCCUGAUGCAGCGACGCCGCGUGGGGGAUGACGGCCUUCGGGUUGUAAACUCCUGUCGCUAGGGACGAAGCGUUUUUGUGACGGUACCUGGAGAAGAAGCACCGGCUAACUACGUG
Molecule: ribosomal RNA, 468 nt
Filed under: uncultured bacterium
Lineage: Bacteria
Description: partial 16S ribosomal RNA
Rfam family: Bacterial small subunit ribosomal RNA
Source: RNAcentral